UGAGGAACAUGACCUUCGGCGGGGGAUAGCCGGCCCAACGGCCGGGUAAUACCGCGUACGACCUUUCGGGGACAUCCCUGGAUGGUGAAAGCAGCAAUGCGCCGAUGGAGUGCCUCGCGGCCUAUCAGCUAGUUGGUGAGGUAACGGCUCACCAAGGCAACGACGGGUAGCUGGUCUGAGAGGAUGGCCAGCCACAUUGGGACUGAGACACGGUCCAGACUCCGUACGGGAGCA
RNAcentral lists this ribosomal RNA (234 nucleotides) under uncultured bacterium. RNAcentral's name for it is "partial 16S ribosomal RNA". It matches the Rfam family "Bacterial small subunit ribosomal RNA", at positions 118 to 347 of the family's 1533-position model. The record is from RNAcentral.